UCUGCUGAAGUGAUGUUUAUCCCAUAGAUGACCUGUGAAGGUAAUAUACGCCCAGGACCCAGCUAUCUUCGCGAGCGGACGUUCGAUUUUGGCUUUUCUUACCAGUGUUGAUCUAUUGACAGACGAUCGUUAAAGGUGAUGUAUGUGCUCUAUUUGGUCUACUAUAGUACGCUGGUGUUUUUUUCCCCUCUAUUUGAGUUUAUUCAAAUUUUCUUUUGGACAGUCUUGAUUUCAGUGGUCGAAUUUUGCAAGAAGUCAACCAAUUUUCAUAGACCAAAGAUAGUGUGUUUUGACUAACAACAUACCGUUUUAUCAUUUGAUUUCAGGCAAGCAACUUUUUCAACAAACAAAUUCCAGUAAAUUCAAUAAAACCGACAAGAGUAGAAACAGCAAAGAGCUGCUACAUAGCUCAGUUAAAAGGACACAAAACAUCUAUAAAACGUACGAUAUCUUACAAAACCAACUUUAACUCCCAAACCUUAAAGAUUGGACAUCAAGUGAACAAACCAAGGUUCAAUUUCUAUCUAGCAGCUAGAUAUGUUUACUCGAGUUUGGCCCGGCUCUAACCGUGUUCUGGACAUGAGUUUUAGAUUUCGGACAUAUAUAGCGACUUUCUCUCGAAGUUUAUUUAUUUAUUUUGUAACCAAAAGCAAAUUAGACGUUGGUGAUAAUGAAUGGCAAUUGUCGCCAGCAAUCGCACGAUCAUGACAUGCUGACUAGUCCAAACGCGCGACAUCGCUCGAUAACCCGAUUUCUUCACCACUGGAUUUUGUUGCCUUUCGACUCUCUCUCAAUAGUCAAACCAAUGAAUUAAGCCAUCUUUUUUAAAUGUUACUAAUUGUUCUUUAAAAAUUCAAAACAAAAAUAUCCUUGAGAAAAAAAUUAGAAACAAGAAAUAACAAUUGUUUCUUUCUUCUAAU
This 920-nucleotide long non-coding RNA is filed under the name Durio zibethinus. RNAcentral's name for it is "long non-coding RNA (DZIB_LNC001432)". The record is from RNAcentral. Lineage: Eukaryota; Viridiplantae; Streptophyta; Magnoliopsida; Malvales; Malvaceae.